Molecule: ribosomal RNA, 373 nt
Filed under: uncultured organism
Description: partial 16S ribosomal RNA
Rfam family: Bacterial small subunit ribosomal RNA
Source: RNAcentral
GUAGGUGGCAAGCGUUGUCCGGAAUUAUUGGGCGUAAAGCGCGCGCAGGUGGUUCUUUAAGUCUGAUGUGAAAGCCCCCGGGCUCAACCGGGGAGGGUCAUUGGAAACUGGGGAAUUUGAGUGCAGGAGAGGAAAGUGGAAUUCCACGUGUAGCGGUGAAAUGCGUAGAUAUGUGGAGGAACACCAGUGGCGAAGGCGACUUUCUGGCCUGUAACUGACACUGAGGCGCGAAAGCGUGGGGAGCAAACAGGAUUAGAUACCCUGGUAGUCCACGCCGUAAACGAUGAGUGCUAAGUGUUGGGGGGUUUCCGCCCCUCAGUGCUGCAGCUAACGCAUUAAGCACUCCGCCUGGGGAGUACGGUCGCAAAGACUG